UGUGGGUCUAAUCUAAUCCCAUUAGCUUAAAUUUUAAUGAGGUCAAACCUCAAGAACCCAUAAAUAAAACCAAAAUCUGGUACCCUUUAACUAAUUAUCUUUAAUUACCAACCAAAAUCGUUGACAAAAGCAAGUUGUGGGCCCACCCCACUUUCAAUUUCCCACCAGUGUACCUCUCAUUGCCUAUGUUUUCAUUCCACUGCUCACAGGAUGGGGGGAGAGAGAGAGAGAGAG
This 234-nucleotide unclassified non-coding RNA is filed under the name Hevea brasiliensis (rubber tree). Lineage: Eukaryota; Viridiplantae; Streptophyta; Magnoliopsida; Malpighiales; Euphorbiaceae. The record is from RNAcentral.